GUGUUGAAAUAGGGUCAAACUGUAUUUCUUAUGGCAUUUAAAUUACAAUCUUACAUUUAUAAACCUUUCAUUUGUUCCAAAAAUUGCUUUCAUACUGUAAAUGAUGAUGAUGUUGUUUGCCUCAUCCACAAAUCUCUUGCGUUGAGCACACAAUUGUCGAACCCUUUUGAAGAGCUUCGACAUCGACGCACUUGAAGUUCAUUGCACUAGCAAAUAUGGUUCCUUGAAAAGAAAAGAAUGCAGUCUUUUGCAUGCAUAGCUCACCACCAGGAGGACUUUUGCCGUGGAAUUGUCUGCGCUCCAUCGUGCGGACGACCUGCUCACAAAUUUCCCACCUUUGACGUCAGGAUUACCUAACACGGCGGCGGACCCAAAUUCCCACCUGCUGGAUUGACAAGAUCACCUCUCAAACACCGAACAAAUUCGCCGACACAAAGAGCCAUGGAGCCAAGCCCUAAAAAUCGGAUGCUGGUGGACACGUUUGAGCUGCGGAGACAGUGGAUUGACAGGAGAUGAGAUCGUUCGUGCUCGGGUUUGUGAGCUUAACGAAGGCAUGUGCUGAGGGAUCAAUGAGGAAAUGAAGGGAGCUUGUGCUUUUUUUUCCCCAUUCUUCUUCUUCCUCUUCUUCUUCAAACUGACGAGUCAGUAAGGUGAGGUGUUCGGGGCGAUUUCGUUGAGAAUGUGCUUCCGAUUGUUACUGAGUGUGGUUUUCCUCAGUGUGACCUCAUGGUGGCCGUCGGUGCCAGUGAAGUACUCAAACCGCACGAAUUCGGCAAUUCAGGUGAUAUCGUGGGUAUAGAGCAACAGUGAUGGACAGAGGAAGCAGGCGACGAAUUGUACAUUUUCAGAGCGGGAUCGAUGCCUCCACGCGGAUCCCGGAUUGCGCAACAAGUCUCAA
RNAcentral lists this long non-coding RNA (898 nucleotides) under Physcomitrium patens. Its description in RNAcentral is "long non-coding RNA (PPAT_LNC013421)". The record is from RNAcentral. Lineage: Eukaryota; Viridiplantae; Streptophyta; Bryopsida; Funariales; Funariaceae.